RNAcentral lists this ribosomal RNA (1448 nucleotides) under uncultured Bordetella sp. Its description in RNAcentral is "partial 16S-23S ribosomal RNA intergenic spacer". It matches the Rfam family "Bacterial small subunit ribosomal RNA". Lineage: Bacteria; Pseudomonadati; Pseudomonadota; Betaproteobacteria; Burkholderiales; Alcaligenaceae. The record is from RNAcentral.
GGUUCGAUCAUGGCUCAGAUUGAACGCUAUGGGAUGUCGGCACGUGUCGAACGGCAGCACGGACUUCGGUCUGGUGGCGAGUGGCGAACGGGUGAGUAAUGUAUCGGAACGUGCCUAGUAGCGGGGAUAACUACGCGAGGUUACACACGUAUUACGCCCUUCGGGGAAAGCGGGGACCUUCGGGCCUCGCACUAUUAGAGCGGGCCGAUAUCGGAUUAGCUAGUUGGUGGGGUAACGGCUCACCAAGGCGACGAUCUGCAGCUGGUUUGAGAGGACGACUGUUCGCUUACCGUAUUCACGGAGAUACGGCCCAGACUCCGCGCUGGAGGCAGGGGAAUUUUGGACAAUGGGGGAAACCCUGAUCCAGCCAUCCUGCAGGCGAUGAAGGCCUGGGUUGUAAAGCACUUUUGGCAGGAAAGAAACGGCACGGAUAAUACCCCGCAACUGAUUUGUACCUGCAGAAUAAGCACCGGCUAACUACGUGCCAGCAGCCGCGGUAAUACGUAGGGUGCAAGCGUUAACGGGAACACGGCGCGAAGCGUGCGCAGGCGGUUCGGAAAGAAAGAUGUGGAAAUCCCAGAGCUUAACUUUGGAACUGCAUUUUUAACUACCGAGCUAGAGUGUGUCGAGGAGGUGAAUUCGCGUGUAGCAGUGAAAUGCGUAUAUGCGGAGGAACACCGAUGGCGAAGGCAGCCUCCUGGGAUAACACUGACGUCACGCACGAGCGUGGGAGCAAAUAUGAUUAGAUAUUCCGGGUAGUUCACGCCCUUAAACGAUGUCAACUAGCUGUUGGGCCUUCGGCCCUGGUAGCGCAGCUAACGCGGUUAACCGUCUGGGGAGUACGGUCGCAAGAUUAAACUCAAAGGAAUUCGACGGGGACUAUUGCUGGUGGAUGAUGUGGAUUAAUUGAUGCAACGCGAAAAAACCUACCUACCCUUGACAUGUUCGGGAAUCCGAAGAGAUUUGGGAGCGUCGCAAGAGAACCGAACACAGUGCCAGAUGCAUUGCCGUCAGUUCGUGUCGUGGAGAUGCCGGGGUUAAGUCCCGCAACGAGCGCAACCCUUGUCAUUAGUUGCUACGAAAGGGCACUCUAAUGAGACUGUCGGUGACAAACCGGAGGAAGGUGGGGAUGACGUCAAGUCCUCAUGGCCCUUAUGGGUAGGGCUUCACACGUCAUACAAUGGUCGGGACAGAGGGUCGCCAACCCGCGAGGGUUAAUCCCAGAAACCCGAUCGUAGGGGUCCGGAUCGCAGUCUGCAACCUGACUGCGUGAAGUCGGAAUCGCUAGUAAUCAGGAUCAGCAUGUCGCGGUGAAUACGUUCCCGGGUCUUGUACACACCGCCUGUCACACCAUGUGGAGUGGGUUUUACCAGAAGUAGUUAGCCUAACCGUAAGGAGGGCGAUUACCAGGUAGGAUUCAUGACUGGGGUGAAGUCGUAACAAGGUAA